Molecule: long non-coding RNA, 517 nt
Organism: Gossypium arboreum
Lineage: Eukaryota; Viridiplantae; Streptophyta; Magnoliopsida; Malvales; Malvaceae
Exons: 4
Source: RefSeq, a predicted model, not a curated record
AGGAUCCCAGCAAUGAAAUUUACCUGAAAUCUUUGGAAACAUCUGCUAAAGUAGGUCUCUCUCCAUACUUGCAAAGGCCGUAGAAGAUAUGGUGUUAUUCAAUGUGAUCCACUAGUUCGCAAAGGACUUGAGAAAACUCCGAACGUGAAACAAUGACAAUGAGAAAGUGUUAAAAGCACAUGGAGCAAAACAACAAUGUGAAACUGUUAAAAGAACUCCAAGGAACCAAUUAGAGCCUAUUUAUGAGGUUUAGGUAAGAUCAAUCAUUGGUGGUUUAAUCUUGCUGUUUCGGGUUGGAAGAACUGUAUGAAAGAAAUCAGUUAAAUUGCUGCUGUUAAUGAGGUCCGAAAGUGAGUAAAUUGAUGUUUGAAAUAUCUUUGUAUGAUGGAUUGAAUGCUGCUGUAUAUUGUUGCUCAUUACCGAAUUAAUGCUGAAACUAAGCUAAUUAAAUGGUGGAUAAUUUGCUGUCGAUUAUGAUGGAAAUGACUAUUAAAUGUUUAAAAUUCCUCUUAUUUAA